GAUGAACGCUGGCGGCGUGCCUAAUACAUGCAAGUCGAGCGAACAGACGAGGAGCUUGCGCCUCUGACGUUAGCGGCGGACGGGUGAGUAACACGUGUAUAACCUACCUAUAAGACGGGUAUAACUACGGGAAACCGGAGCAAAUACCGGAUAAUAUAUUGAACCGCAUGGGUCAAUAGUGAGAGACGGUUGUGCUGUCACGUAUAGAUGGAUCCGCGCCGCAUUAGCUAGUUGGUAAGGUAACGGGUUACUAAGGCAACGAGGCGUAGCCGAGGUGUGUGACUGGUAGCCGGCCUGGGAGCGUAGCCACGGUCCUGACGCCUGCGGGAGGCCGCAGUAGGGAAUGUUCCGCAGUGGGCGGGAGCCUUACGGAGCGGGGGCGCGUGAGUUGUGGAGGUCUUGGGUUCGUGAAGCCCUGUUUCGAGCGAAGAACAGCUUUGUAAUUAGCCAUGCCCGGCUUGACGGUACCUAGUCAGAAAGCCACGGCUAACUACGUG
RNAcentral lists this ribosomal RNA (497 nucleotides) under uncultured bacterium. RNAcentral describes it as "partial 16S ribosomal RNA". It matches the Rfam family "Bacterial small subunit ribosomal RNA", at positions 28 to 507 of the family's 1533-position model. The record is from RNAcentral.